UGUCGGGGAGGAACCAGAGUCCAAGAACAGCCCUGACUCAGCCGGGGGACCUGGACGGUGGGAGUGAAGGCGGGACCGCCUUUCUCUUCCUCUUCCUUGUUUGGAUUUUGUCAAUGGCCGUGGGUGGCCCCACCUAUAGCAUCCUAGUCACGGAGUCCGCUGAGUAAUCUCUGCUUUGAAAGACGCAUCUGUUCGGCCCCAAGUCACAGGGGCACGUCACAUGCGCUUCCGUCCGGGAAGCGUGACCGCGGGUCUGACCGCAUCAUCACACGUCUGGAGGCUCCCAUUUAAUUUGCAAACUACGUGUUUUCGAUUGAGCCCCCUUGGGAGUAAUGGGAUCAUCCAGAUCAGCAUUUGUCUGACCCAGGAGGGCUGAGGGGGACACCUGUGUUCAGAUGUGGACUGUGCACUUCCCAGCUGUGACUGCAGACGUGUUAAGAUGCCGUUUCUCCACUUGGGUCUCUGCUCUUUAACUGAUCUGAAUUCAGUCUCCCUGCGCAUCUCCCUGCACGGUACCUGCUUGCAAGCAGUUGGGAAGAUCAGUUUCAAGCAGAUGGACACAAGAAGAUCGCGUGUGCUGGAGUAGGUAUUAUACUCAUGCCACAAAGUUUCCUGUUUUAAAGUCAGCCAUGCGGAUCCUGGGGGCAGAGACUUGUUACCGUUUUCAACUCAAGAUGCGUUUCUUUCUUUGCCCACUUGGACAAAACAUAUUGCAAACACCCUUUGGGCUACACUUUUGUUGCAUGCAAACCUCUUCUAUUUUUUUGACCGUUCAAUACCCAUCGCCCGGGACACACUGCGUUGUGUGGGGGCGGCUGGGGGAGGGGAGUGCAGCAGUUAGCAUCACGGGGAGUGCGGUGUGGCUCAGGAAUAGCACACUUGGGAGAGUAAAUUUUGAGGGCGAUGGGGCAUCCUGGGGUACCUGCGCUGGAAAUUCAAGCCAAUUUUGUCAGAAUCUAAGAGGACUAGGUGAGUCUGGUUGACAUCAAUUACACUUUCCUUAUUCCCCCCUUUCCUUCUAUGCUGUUCCUCUGACAACCCCUGGGAUUCGGUUGCUCGCGGACCAGCAGGUAUGACAUCGUGUCCAGCAUUAUAGCCUUACAUGUGCGCUAUUGUUCUGGUCCCACGUUCACUAUCUGGCCCUCGGCGUCGAAUGGACGUUCCGCAAUCACUUACCACACGAAUCGACACGUACAUGUUCUUUCCACAGACAGUAAAAUUCAAAAUUCUAAUAUGGGGGAACAAUUGCGUAUGGCAACUUAGACAUUUUUGUUACCUGAGGGUCAAGCAACAGCUCUUCUGUUUUAACUUGUGUUUUGGAAAAAAAAAAUUCUAAAAUAUUUUUAAUGCAUUUACCUGUUUUGAUAAUUACAGUAUAGACAAAACAAGUAAAAUUUGA
This is a long non-coding RNA of Leopardus geoffroyi (Geoffroy's cat), 1399 nucleotides long. RefSeq lists it as uncharacterized. NCBI's taxonomy places the organism in Eukaryota, Metazoa, Chordata, Mammalia, Carnivora, Felidae. The record is from RefSeq and is a predicted model, not a curated record. The transcript is spliced from 2 exons.